Megalobrama amblycephala (Wuchang bream) is the source of this 1058-nucleotide non-coding RNA. The record is from the annotation of a RefSeq genome assembly. Lineage: Eukaryota; Metazoa; Chordata; Actinopteri; Cypriniformes; Xenocyprididae.
CACCUUCAUUGUAUUAACUCAGUUUUUUUAAUUUCAAUGAACUCAAAAUUUUAAGGCAACAAGGUAACUUACUUUUUUAAGUUAAACCAACCAUUCUUUUUACAGUGAAGAUCUAAGGAUACAUAUUUAAACAUGCUCAUGUAAUCGUUUCUUGUGAUUCAGAUUCAGUGUCGUGAGGAAGAGGAGGAGUUCAGCACAGACCCUAUACAGCUGAUAAAGAUGAGCUUCACAACACUGUGGAGCAGCUGCGGUUCUUGCCAGUUUAGUGAAAGAACAUGUUGAUCUACAUUGUGAUAUUGCUGUCAUCAGCUGAAGGUUCCAGAUCCACAGAAGUCAUCACUCCAAAAAGAGUCAGAGUAUUUGCACUUGAGGGUGACAAUGUGACGCUCUCUUGUAACUACAGCAUUUCUGUUCGUGGUGUUCACUGGUAUCGCCAAUACGCAGGUUCACCACCACAGUUCCUCAUACUGGAAGAUUCAGGAGUAACUACUCCAGCUGAUCCACCCGUUCCAAGAAUAACCAUCAAUCACAGAAAAGAGCAAAGUCUUGUGGAUCUGAUCAUCUCCUCUGCUGCAGUAUCAGACUCUGCUCUGUAUUACUGUGCUCUGAGGCCCACAGUCACAGGAAACACAAGAACACUGUACCAUAAACAGUUUCAUAUGCUUAUCAAACCUUGAAAUGUACAUACAAACUACAGCUGGACUCAACAACACAAAUGUCAAAAAGACACAACAGUUACUGAUACUAGUAGAAUUGUCAAGUAACAUAAUGUAAAUUAUAAACUGGCUUUACUGGUACACUGCAAAUCAUGAUUUUCCUUAUAUACUUUGAAUAAGGUUUAUUUUUAUCACCCCAUUGGCAUGUAUUUUUUCUUGUUUUAAACUUAAACUCACUGAAUUUUGAUAAAUUAUUCAGAAAACUAGACUUUUUGUUGACAAGUUGUUUUGUUUCUUGAGUAAAUGUUUCUUGAUUUAAUAAUUUUAAGAUAUGUGUACUGGAAACAAGACUAAAAUACAGAGUUAAAAGCCCAACAUGGACUUGUUCACUUUUUACCCGAA